GCGGGGCCACUGUUGUAAAAUAGUUUGAGCAAAUACUUAGGACAAUAUUCCACAGCUCCAAAAUUCACGACAUGUCACCGAUAACUACAUUUUACCUGAUCGUACUUAUUGGUUGCAUUUUCUACGCCUGGCCUUCGGAUGCAGGUUGUUAUACCGUAUGUUACCCAAUGAUGGCAUGUGACGACGUUUAUAACAACGUGAAUUGCCGUAUCGAGCAAAAUUGUAUGCAAAAAUGCUCCCCGGACUAUAACUACACUUAAAUCGAGAAUGAAGAAAUUUCUACAAAAUUCAAUCUAAUGUUAUAAAUAUUCAGCGUUUGAAAUUGUGGAUAAUUGCGAAAUAAAUAAAUUAUGUAAUUGUA
This is a long non-coding RNA of Folsomia candida, 361 nucleotides long. RefSeq lists it as uncharacterized. The transcript is spliced from 2 exons. The record is from RefSeq and is a predicted model, not a curated record. NCBI's taxonomy places the organism in Eukaryota, Metazoa, Arthropoda, Collembola, Entomobryomorpha, Isotomidae.